This 1014-nucleotide ribosomal RNA is filed under the name Triticum aestivum (bread wheat). Its description in RNAcentral is "partial small subunit ribosomal RNA". The record is from RNAcentral. Lineage: Eukaryota; Viridiplantae; Streptophyta; Magnoliopsida; Poales; Poaceae.
AUGAACCGAAAAUUCCUGUACAUGACGGCCAUGAACGUCAAAAGGAGUUCAUACACUCUGCACCGCAUCAAGGCGUCACAAUUGUUUUACCCCAAUGGUGCACCUGACUCCGCGCUUGCGGCGGUGGAGGACCGUUCUGUGCCGCCACCAACAAUGUCUUUCCACUCUCCUCGGAACAAGAUCGUCUGCACAGACGAGAGAGGUCGAGCCGUCUUAUAUGAUGACGGCCUGCAAGCUGUCCGCAUGUUGCCAAGCCUCAAAAAGGCCAAGUGGCAAUCAGUGCCCCUCGCCGUUGGUGACAACCUGUUGGUCAUGGAGGCGAUCCCUAAGAACGAUCAAGAGAAGUUACAUCAAUCUUUCGAGGCGCUGAUGUAUGGCGAAUGGCCUAAAAUGUUCAAGGGGGUGGACUUUUUCUGGCACUCCAUCCCCCCGCCGCCUUAUGUCUAUGCCCCUGGCUAUGGUGAUGACCGUUCUGGUGUGAUCACCGCGUGCACUGUGGUCAAUAGCUCAAGCAUCUUGAUAUCCACAGAGAGCCUCGGCACCUACUGCUUGGACACGGUGAGCGGCAAGUGGGGCAAGACUGGUGCCUGGCCGCUGCCAUUUAAAGGCCUUGCAGAAUAUGUUCCGGAGUACGAUCUCUGGUUCGGUGUCUCGGCAAAGGGGGGUGGCGUCCUCUGCGCAUCAGACCUGGGUGCUGCCUUGGCAAAGCAGACGCCGCCGCCGGUAUUCCAAGAGUGGGAGGGAUUCGCUGCCCCUGAGGGUACCGAGCUAGGAUCGCACCUGCUGCACCUAGGUGCUGGUCGUUUCUGUGUCGCCAAGUUGAUCAUGACAACAAGGCCGCAAGAGACGUGCUGCCAGAUGUGCUGUUUCCAUGACACUACUGCCAUUGUCGACAAGUUAGUGAUGUUUACCGGCGUGGAGAUUCAUCGCUGUGGCAGAGGGCUUAAGGUGAUCAAGCACAAAUCGUUUCGUUAUAGUAUGGGGCCAUGCAGCAUGGCCAAGAUACUUUAUUAG